Molecule: long non-coding RNA, 361 nt
Filed under: Zea mays
Lineage: Eukaryota; Viridiplantae; Streptophyta; Magnoliopsida; Poales; Poaceae
Description: drought responsive lncRNA
Source: RNAcentral
UGCAGCGGAAAUAUUAUUACUAAAUUUUACAAGUUACAAAAAUUUUACAUUAUUUUAUCGGAGUGAUUGCAAAAGUAUAAGUUUGAAAUAUAUGCUAGCUCAAGUGACCAUCCUCAAUAAGAAGUAUAGAAGGGUUACUUAGACUUAUAAGAAGGCCGAGCCCACUGGCUACUUAACACCAUCAGCAGCAGCACAAAACUAUAACCUGAAAAACAACAGGGAAUAAAACCAUGAGUACGAAAUUACUCAGCAAGACUUACCCGACUAAAGAAAAGACUCUCAAGGGUAUGCUGGCUAGAGAGAUUCAAGGUAUGGCUUAUCAAGAAUCAAAGACUCUAUUUUGCAAAAAACUUACUAUGAG